UGAUAAUGAUGACCUGUGGGGUUGUCCCACAAAAAAUAUUCUACAGUUUUCAAACCAGCAUCUGGAUAUGAAUACUUUUGUAAUUGCAUGUAGCAAAAAGUUUAGCAUAGCCACAGAGUUAUCCAAUAAAAUGUAUCUGUAUAGCACCACCUGCUGUUAGUUUUCUUCUUAUAUCUUUGACCUGCUCACUGAGAAGGCCGCACAUGCUCAGUUUCAUCCUUCAUCUGCCUCCUGAGCUGUGA
Molecule: long non-coding RNA, 242 nt
Organism: Bufo bufo (common toad)
Lineage: Eukaryota; Metazoa; Chordata; Amphibia; Anura; Bufonidae
Exons: 3
Source: RefSeq, a predicted model, not a curated record